This is a microRNA precursor of Oryza sativa Indica Group (long-grained rice), 202 nucleotides long. It matches the Rfam family "MIR812 microRNA precursor family". NCBI's taxonomy places the organism in Eukaryota, Viridiplantae, Streptophyta, Magnoliopsida, Poales, Poaceae. The record is from Rfam.
CGUAGAUGCAGUUGCGAGCUUCUAUAUGUAAUGUCUGACCGUCUGUCUUAUUUGAACUUUUUAUGAUUAGUAUUUUUAUUGUUAUUAGAUGAUAAAAUAUGAAUAAUACUUCAUGCUUGACAAAUUUUUUAUUUUUUUAUAAUUUUUUUUAAAUAAGACGGAUGGUCAAAUGUUGGAUAAAAAACCCACUACUAUAUGUAAA